RNAcentral lists this ribosomal RNA (460 nucleotides) under uncultured bacterium. Its description in RNAcentral is "partial 16S ribosomal RNA". It matches the Rfam family "Bacterial small subunit ribosomal RNA", at positions 338 to 795 of the family's 1533-position model. The record is from RNAcentral.
CCUACGGGUGGCAGCAGUGAGGAAUAUUGGUCAAUGGACGAGAGUCUGAACCAGCCAAGUAGCGUGAAGGAUGACUGCCCUAUGGGUUGUAAACUUCUUUUAUAUGGGAAUAAAAUGUUCCACGUGUGGGAUUUUGUAUGUACCAUAUGAAUAAGGAUCGGCUAACUCCGUGCCAGCAGCCGCGGUAAUACGGAGGAUCCGAGCGUUAUCCGGAUUUAUUGGGUUUAAAGGGAGCGUAGGUGGAUUGUUAAGUCAGUUGUGAAAGUUUGCGGCUCAACCGUAAAAUUGCAGUUGAAACUGGCAGUCUUGAGUACAGUAGAGGUGGGCGGAAUUCGUGGUGUAGCGGUGAAAUGCUUAGAUAUCACGAAGAACUCCGAUUGCGAAGGCAGUUCACUGGACUGCAACUGACACUGAGGCUCGAGAGUGUGGGUAUCAAACAGGAUUAGAUACCCUUGUAGUC